ACGGAGAGGGCAAGCGUUGUUCGGAUUUAUUGGGCGUAAAGCGCGCGUAGGUGGCAUGGUAAGUCGGAUGUUAAAGACCCACGGCUCACCCGGGGGAAUGCGUCCGAUACUGCCGUGCUAGAGUGCGGGAGAGGAAAGUGGAAUUCCUGGUGUAGCGGUGAAAUGCGUAGAGAUCCGGAGGAACACCAGAGGCGAAGGCGACACCCUGGGCCGUACCUGACGCUAAGACGCGACAGCACGGGGAGCGAAUGG
RNAcentral lists this ribosomal RNA (252 nucleotides) under uncultured prokaryote. RNAcentral's name for it is "partial 16S ribosomal RNA". It matches the Rfam family "Bacterial small subunit ribosomal RNA", at positions 525 to 775 of the family's 1533-position model. The record is from RNAcentral.